AGAGUUUGAUCAUGGCUCAGAAUGAACGCUGCGGCGUGCUUAACACAUGCAAGUCGCACGAGAAAUCCCGGCUUGCCGGGAGAGUAAAGUGGCGCACGGGUGCGUAACGCGUGGAUAAUCUAGCCUCGAAUCCGGGAUAACACUUCGAAAGGGGUGCUAAUACCGGAUAAUAUCAUUUAGUCUUCGGGCUUUAUGAUCAAAGGUAGCCUCUACAUGUAAGCUACUGUUUGAGGAUGAGUUCGCGUACCAUUAGCUUGUUGGUGGGGUAAUGGCCUACCAAGGCUGCGAUGGUUAGCUGGUCUGAGAGGAUGAUCAGCCACACUGGAACUGACACACGGUCCAGACUCCUACGGGAGGCAGCAGUGAGGAAUCUUGCGCAAUGGGGGAAACCCUGACGCAGCAACGCCGCGUGAGUGAUGAAGGUCUUCGGAUCGUAAAGCUCUGUCAAGUGGGAAGAAAUUGUCUUGUGCUAAUAUCGCAGGGCAUUGACGGUACCACUGAAGGAAGCACCGCCU
This 515-nucleotide ribosomal RNA is filed under the name bacterium ROME1175sh. RNAcentral describes it as "bacterial SSU rRNA". It matches the Rfam family "Bacterial small subunit ribosomal RNA", at positions 8 to 498 of the family's 1533-position model. The record is from RNAcentral.